GCCCGCAUAGCUCAGUUGCCAGAGCAGGGGUUUUGUAAACCUCACUUCGUUGGUUCGAAUCCCACUGCGGGCUCCA
Molecule: transfer RNA, 76 nt
Filed under: Arenicellales bacterium
Lineage: Bacteria; Pseudomonadati; Pseudomonadota; Gammaproteobacteria; Arenicellales
Description: tRNA-Thr
Rfam family: tRNA
About the family: Transfer RNA (tRNA) molecules are approximately 80 nucleotides in length.
Source: RNAcentral